UCAGAAAUCUGAUGUUUUAUAGUUUUACCUUCCGUCCUGGUUGAUUGGCUUGUCGUUGUAAUAAUAAUUUGUGGUCUUGGGUUUCUUGAUAAGAAGACAAGCAUACUCUCUGUCAAGCCAACAUAAGAGCUCGACAUGAUCUUGGAAAACCGAGACCCACGGGAGAUAAUCAGUAAUAAAUCCGGCAUCCGGUUUAAUCAAAUUAUUUCAGAACCCAAGCGCCUGAAGAGCGACGCAUUGUACUGGCAAUCCAGCACGGUCUGCUAUGAAAGAUGGCGUCUGUUUGUUUACCAGUGCUGCAGUUUUCUGACGGGGCCCUGUAUUGCCAAUUCUAUAGCAUCAUUAAUCGGAGGCCUCAUGUUUCAAGUUAUUUGGAUAAUAACACCGUUAAAUCUUUUGUGUAAACGAUGCGCCGGUGGGUGCGAAAAAGCAAUCGCGCCCUCCAUUGCAGGAUGUUGUAACGUUGGUGGUUUAUUGAAACGCAAAAAAACUAAACCUGCGGCCGUCGAUAGUAGUGGCAUAUCUGUCGUUUAGACUGUGAAAAUGUAGACUAUUAGAAACACUGUAAAUCGUAGAAUACAAGGUGAAUCUUUAAAAAAUGUAACUGUAAGCUUGUGGUUUGAAAUUUGUCAUUGUAUGGAAAAUGAACAAACUUGCAUGCAUCCUCCAGAAAGCCAACAGUUGUCAUCAUUGAUAAGUAGAUUAAUAUUUUGUUAUUUUUUAAAAUCACAUUUUAAUUGAAAAUGUUAACUAUAGCUUGUCAUAUUUAAAUUGUAAAUGCAGUUAAUAUUGGUAGAAGUAUAACUUGUCAACUAAUACUUUCAACAUUUGAAAAUUAUACAACGUUGCAUUUAUCAAACGGUUAUUGAGAUACAAAAUCGGUACUGAUAGAUGACAAGCCAAUUCAUAUCAUUAAAGAUAAAAGCUA
Molecule: long non-coding RNA, 928 nt
Organism: Saccostrea cuccullata (small rock oyster)
Lineage: Eukaryota; Metazoa; Mollusca; Bivalvia; Ostreida; Ostreidae
Exons: 3
Source: RefSeq, a predicted model, not a curated record